RNAcentral lists this ribosomal RNA (467 nucleotides) under uncultured bacterium. RNAcentral describes it as "partial 16S ribosomal RNA". It matches the Rfam family "Bacterial small subunit ribosomal RNA", at positions 29 to 507 of the family's 1533-position model. The record is from RNAcentral.
ACGAACGCUGGCGGCGUGCUUAACACCUGCCAGUCGAACGGAAAGGCCCUGCUUUUGUGGGGUGCUCGAGUGGCGAACGGGUGAGUAACACAUGAGUAACCUGCCCUUGACUUUGGGAUAACUUCAGGAAACUGGGGCUAAUACCGGAUAGGAGCUCCUGCUGCAUGGUGGGGGUUGGAAAGUUUCGGCGGUUGGGGAUGGACUCGCGGCUUAUCAGCUUGUUGGUGGGGUAGUGGCUUACCAAGGCUUUGACGGGUAGCCGGCCUGAGAGGGUGACCGGCCAAAUUGGGACUGAGAUAAGGCCCAGACUCCUACGGGAGGCAGCAGUGGGGAAUAUUGCACAAUGGGCGGAAGCCUGAUGCAGCAACGCCGCGUGCGGGAUGACGGCCUUCGGGUUGUAAACCGCUUUCGCCUGUGACGAAGAGUGAGUGACGGUAAUGGGUAAAGAAGCACCGGCUAACUACGUG